Molecule: long non-coding RNA, 674 nt
Organism: Tachysurus fulvidraco (yellow catfish)
Lineage: Eukaryota; Metazoa; Chordata; Actinopteri; Siluriformes; Bagridae
Exons: 3
Source: RefSeq, a predicted model, not a curated record
AGGGUUGACUGACAGCGUGAUCCACCAACCACAGCUUAGAUAUUUUAAGUCCUGCCUUUCUUUCAUCAAUUUAAUAUUCAUUCACCUGUUUAUUUAUUUUACAGGGAUUAAGUAGAGAAAGCAUGCAACAUUGUUAUCCUGAAAGUAUCCCAAAAUAUGGUUUACUUCCUUCUGAACCUUGAUAAAGCAUUGUUUUAAUGAAAAGUUACAAACUGCAUCUUCCAGGUGAAACAGAUCAAGGGUUUGUGGUUCUUUCAUUGGACUGAGCUGCAUCUCCUUUUUGCUUUAUGCUUGUGACUCCCACCACUUUUUAAGAAGAGCAACAUGAGGAAAAGGAAAAACUUUUCAGGGUGGAUGCAUUAUCAAGUAAAGAUCUUAGCUGUUGAUCGAUGUGUCACUCACUUGAACGUCUACUACUGAUCAUUGUUCUGGGAUGCCUGUGGAUUGUGUCCUGUUUGGUUGGUGUGUUCAGUGUGAAACAUUGUCUUCACUCAAAGAUUCAUUGCAAGAGCUUGUAAGAGCUUGUGGGUUUGAAUCUGUUUUGAAACCGACUGUAUGAGGCACAAAGGUGGGAUGAGGGGCAAAUAGUUUGGGAAAUAGUUUGAAGAUUAAGUUUGAUUUUAAAAACUCCAGAAACAGUGUAGCUGCUCAGUUUUUGUUCUAUGGAGUCAAAA